GGGCGGCUAGCUCAGCGGGAGAGCGCUUGCUUCACACGCAAGAGGUCGCUGGUUCGAAACCAGCGCCGCCCACCA
Molecule: transfer RNA, 75 nt
Filed under: Candidatus Dormiibacterota bacterium
Lineage: Bacteria; Bacillati; Candidatus Dormiibacterota
Also listed under: 5 other names
Description: tRNA-Val
Rfam family: tRNA
About the family: Transfer RNA (tRNA) molecules are approximately 80 nucleotides in length. Their secondary structure includes four short double-helical elements and three loops (D, anti-codon, and T loops).
Source: RNAcentral